CCAACUUUCGUCUGACUGACUCCCCUCAUGAACAAAGGAUGUGAACAGCAGGUGGGUGGUUGCAUCUGUGCUUGCAGCCAAAGCUGUACACUCCCCUGAAGCAUGAAUCAUGCUUCUUUUUUUUCAAUAAAUACCAUCAAAGUGACUCAAAUGAAAAGUAGGGGUAUGCUUGAAAAAUCUCUGAUUGUCCAACGUGCAUUCUUGUGCAAGAUAAUGAACCCCAAGUUACACCCAAAGUGUGUGUGUGUGUGUGUCUGUUAUAUCUUUGUGGGGACCAAAUGUUUGAAGUUUACUAUACUUAUGGGAACCAAAAUCCUGGUCCCCAUAAGUUUGAAGGCAUUUUUGAGACUUAAAAUGUGGUUUUGGUGUCAGGGUCACAAUUGGGUUAUAGUUAGGUAUAAGGAUGAUGUCUCUUAGUUCUCUUUCAUUAAAGCUUUAGUGCACGGUCCUAGGGGCCGACUGGAUCAUCCAAACUAUCCCUUAAGUCUCCUGUUCAGCUGUUCUGCUCCUCUCCUCCCUCCCUCCCUCCCUCGUAGGUCAUCUUUGGGGUUCCACUGUAGUCACUCCCAUCUGACUAAUUGGUCCACAUGAUAAGUUAUUGUGAAGCUCUUAAAGUUUUGGGCUAUCAGAAAGAGUGGUCUAUGAAAGAAAAAAAAAAAAAAUUCAAAAUAUAUUCUAUUAUAACCCAAAAGGUAGACCGAUCCCCCUACACCUCUGUGGAGAGGAUUUAGCCUCCACAGAACAGUGUUUUGUGCUCUUGAAUCAAUUGUGAGAUCAUCCACUUGUUGUUAGUAUUUACAACAAUCCACACAAUUUCAUGUUAGUUGUGAUUCACACUGCUUUCACACUUCUAUAAUACACAUGCACCAGUGCAGGGAGAUCUGUCUUACCUGUUUGGUACAAUUAUUUUGAUAUAUUUUAUAAUAUUAUUCUAAUAUUCUUACUACAAAAUGAAUUAUAAAAAAGAAUACAAAAAUAAUAGAGCCUUGUUUAAUUUUUUUGUGCAAUUUAAGUGCAGUUUGUUGGCUUAGCAAUACAUCGCUGUUCUUCCUCAACUCUCGGCUGCCACUUUCUCUCAUCCUAACACCGCCGAUCCUUGACAUACGGUGUGAAAAACUCUUCCAAGGUCUCUAUUCCGUCUUUCCCUCCUCUUUCCUAUCCACACCUCUUCAUAAAAAAAGAAAAAACAGGGUUUCUUCCAAAAGUACUGUGUGAAUGUGGGUUGUACUGUAGAGUGCUCUGAGAAAUCAAUAAGAGUGGAAAAGAUAAGUAAAGGUAUAAAUGCAACCUGUUUGUAAAAUACUUUAUGGGUUCAGUCUAUAAGUUAGCGUUUUAUUAAUGCCUGGCUGCAUGUUGGGCUCCCUGAGUGCUACUGCGACAGUCAAACCACAAAGACAAACCUCAUAAAUGAAAAAUUUGAGUAACAAGUCUUUAACUUCUUCAACAAUCAAAUUAAACCCAAAACAAUCUGAGAAACAGUUACGCACUUCUGAAUUAAUCAAAAUGGACAAUAAAGUUUUCAUAAGCAUUUCUUAUUUUACUCGCUUCUAUCAAAUGUGAACAGUCUU
Molecule: long non-coding RNA, 1568 nt
Organism: Astatotilapia calliptera (eastern happy)
Lineage: Eukaryota; Metazoa; Chordata; Actinopteri; Cichliformes; Cichlidae
Source: Ensembl